UUGGAGGGCAAGUCUGGUGCCAGCAGCCGCGGUAAUUCCAGCUCCAAUAGCGUAUAUUAAAGUUGUUGCAGUUAAAAAGCUCGUAGUUGAAUUUCGGGGUCAGUAGGUUGGUCAUGCCACUGGUAUGUACUGGUCUCACUGAUUCCUCCUUCCUGAUGAGCCGUAAUGCCAUUAAUUUGGUGUUGCGAGGAAUCUGGACUGUUACUUUGAAAAAAUUAGAGUGUUUAAAGCAGGCUAACGCUUGAAUACAUUAGCAUGGAAUAAUGAAAUAGGACGUUCGAUCUUAUUUUGUUGGUUUCUAAGAUUGACGUAAUGAUUAAUAGGGAUAGUUGGGGGCAUUAGUAUUCAAUUGUCAGAGGUGAAAUUCUUGGAUUUAUUGAAGACUAACUACUGCGAAAGCAUUUGCCAAGGAUGUUUUCAUUAAUCAAGAACGAAAGUUAGGGGAUCGAAGACGAUCAGAUACCGUCGUAGUCUUAACCAUAAACUAUGCCGACUAGGGAUCGGAUGAUGUUAAUUUUUUAAUGACUCAUUCGGCGCCUUACGGAAACCAAAGUGUUUGGGUUC
RNAcentral lists this ribosomal RNA (564 nucleotides) under uncultured Glomeromycotina. RNAcentral's name for it is "SSU rRNA". It matches the Rfam family "Eukaryotic small subunit ribosomal RNA", at positions 548 to 1114 of the family's 1831-position model. The record is from RNAcentral. Lineage: Eukaryota; Fungi; Glomeromycota.